This 468-nucleotide ribosomal RNA is filed under the name uncultured bacterium. RNAcentral describes it as "partial 16S ribosomal RNA". It matches the Rfam family "Bacterial small subunit ribosomal RNA", at positions 28 to 507 of the family's 1533-position model. The record is from RNAcentral.
GACGAACGCUGGCGGCGUGCUUAACACAUGCAAGUCGAACGGAAAGGCCCUGCUUUUGUGGGGUACUCGAGUGGCGAACGGGUGAGUAACACGUGAGUAACCUGCCCUUGACUUUGGGAUAACUUCAGGAAACUGGGGCUAAUACCGGAUAGGAGCUCCUGCUGCAUGGUGGGGGUUGGAAAGUUUCGGCGGUUGGGGAUGGACUCGCGGCUUAUCAGCUUGUGGGUGGGGUAGUGGCUUACCAAGGCUUUGACGGGUAGCCGGCCUGAGAGGGUGACCGGCCACAUUGGGACUGAGAUACGGCCCAGACUCCUACGGGAGGCAGCAGUGGGGAAUAUUGCACAAUGGGCGGAAGCCUGAUGCAGCAACGCCGCGUGCGGGAUGACGGCCUUCGGGUUGUAAACCGCUUUCGCCUGUGACGAAGCGUGAGUGACGGUAAUGGGUAAAGAAGCACCGGCUAACUACGUG